AUUCAACUGAUUAGUCCCAAAUAGGACGAAACUCAUGUCCUUGAU
Schistosoma haematobium is the source of this 45-nucleotide non-coding RNA. Lineage: Eukaryota; Metazoa; Platyhelminthes; Trematoda; Strigeidida; Schistosomatidae. The record is from Rfam.